GAUGAACGCUGGCGGCGUGCCUAAUACAUGCAAGUCGAGCGAACAGACGAGGAGCUUGCUCCUCUGACGUUAGCGGCGGACGGGUGAGUAACACGUGGAUAACCUACCUAUAAGACUGGGAUAACUUCGGGAAACCGGAGCUAAUACCGGAUAAUAUAUUGAACCGCAUGGUUCAAUAGUGAAAGACGGCUUUGCUGUUACUUAUAGAUGGAUCCGCGCCGCAUUAGCUAGUUGGUAAGGUAACGGCUUACCAAGGCGACGAUGCGUAGCCGACCUGAGAGGAUGAUCGGCCACACUGGAACUGAGACACGGUCCAGACUCCUACGGGAGGCAGCAGUAGGGAAUCUUCCGCAAUGGGCGAAAGCCUGACGGAGCAACGCCGCGUGAGUGAUGAAGGUCUUCGGAUCGUAAAACUCUGUUAUUAGGGAAGAACAAAUGUGUAAGUAACUAUGCACGUCUUGACGGUACCUAAUCAGAAAGCCACGGCUAACUACGUG
This 497-nucleotide ribosomal RNA is filed under the name uncultured bacterium. Its description in RNAcentral is "partial 16S ribosomal RNA". It matches the Rfam family "Bacterial small subunit ribosomal RNA", at positions 28 to 507 of the family's 1533-position model. The record is from RNAcentral.